Molecule: ribosomal RNA, 392 nt
Filed under: uncultured bacterium
Lineage: Bacteria
Description: partial 16S ribosomal RNA
Rfam family: Bacterial small subunit ribosomal RNA
Source: RNAcentral
AUACGGAGGAUCCGAGCGUUAUCCGGAUUUAUUGGGUUUAAAGGGUGCGCAGGCGGCCAUUUAAGUCAGCGGUUAAAUCGUGGGGCUCAAUCCCAUUCUGCCGUUGAUACUGGGUGGCUUGAUUGCGGUCGAGGUUGGCGGAAUUCGUUGUGUAGCGGUGAAAUGCAUAGAUAUGACGAAGAACACCGAUUGCGUAGGCAGCUGACCAGACCGCAAAUGACGCUCAUGCACGAAAGUGCGGGGAUCGAACAGGAUUAGAUACCCUGGUAGUCCGCACAGUAAACGAUGAAUACUUGUUUUCGGCGAUAUAAUGUCGGAGGCAAAGCGAAAGCGAUAAGUAUUCCACCUGGGGAGUACGCCGGCAACGGUGAAACUCAAAGGAAUUGACGGGG